AGUGAACGCUGGCGGCAGGCCUAACACAUGCAAGUCGAACGGCUGCACAGUGCUUGCUUCUUCUUUCAGCUGCCGACUGGUGAGUGAUUCCUAAGUACCUCCCUGUCUACUUUUUCUUACGUCCUAACAUGGGCGCUCUUACCCCAUUCCCCCUUACGAACUACGUGUGAGAUCAUCGGAUCUCACGCCCUCACAUGAUCCGAUGUCGGAUUAGCUAGUUGGUGGGGUAAAGGCCUACCAAGGCGACGAUCCGUAACUGGUUUGAGAGGAUGAGCAGUCACACUGGAACUGAGACACGGUCCAGACUCCUACGGGAGGCAGCAGUGGGGAAUAUUGGACAAAGGGCGAAAGCCUGAUCCAGCCAUGCCGCGUGUGUGAAGAAGGUCUUCGGAUUGUAAAGCACUUUAAGUGGGAAAGAAGGGCAGUAAGUUAAUACCUCGCUGUUCUGACGGUACCAAAAGAAUAAGCACCGGCUAACUUCGUG
RNAcentral lists this ribosomal RNA (484 nucleotides) under uncultured bacterium. Its description in RNAcentral is "partial 16S ribosomal RNA". It matches the Rfam family "Bacterial small subunit ribosomal RNA", at positions 29 to 507 of the family's 1533-position model. The record is from RNAcentral.